GCCAGUGUAAUGUAGUGGUUUGAGUGUUGGACUACGACUGGAGACCAGGGUUCAAUUCCCUGCUUGGCCA
This is a non-coding RNA of Phrynosoma platyrhinos (Desert horned lizard), 70 nucleotides long. Lineage: Eukaryota; Metazoa; Chordata; Lepidosauria; Squamata; Phrynosomatidae. The record is from the annotation of a GenBank genome assembly.